ACAUCUGGGCACCCACCUCCGCGGGCUGCGGCCGGGAGGUGAUGCGCUCCUCAGUGGCUGCAGGGACCCGCAGGAGCUGCCACCGCCGCCGCCACCAGCAGCACCGCCGCCACCUCGUCCAGGAGCAGCGAGGGAAGGACGGAGCAGCCCUCCCUCUGGAGCCGGGGCUCGCUGGGGUGACCGUUCAGCAGUGCCGUGCUGCCAGAAAUGCUCGCUGAGCCCGUGCAAGGGAGAAAUCUUACCAGAACUGCUGAGAUUACCCCAGAAAGACCCUUUGCAGACUGACUCCGCAUCCUCAGAGCUGAUCUGCUCGGGGCCUACCAAAGACACUAACGACGUCGAAAGUAGCUUACUUUAAGAGAAAAUAUGCAGAAGAAGAACAUUUACAUCAGGAUUACCAUGAGUAUUGUCCAAAACACCUGAUACUACCGGAGGACCGGACUUGUAUCCUAAAACUGUCUCUCCAGAAACUCCGCUUCCUGGACGACCCCGAAGCCUAUCUCCGCAGGUCUGUAUUAAUUAACAAUCUGUUGAGGAAGAUUCACCUAGAGACAGAGAGGGAGAGCUAUGAAUACUUUAAGGAGGCUCCGUGCUAUAGGACUGCCUACUCUGACGCACGAAAACGGCUGAAGCUGAUGGUGCAGGAGUGCUGUUCCCAGUCGCUCUAUUAUGAAGAGCUGCACUCGUAUCGCAUCGUGCCUUACUCUGCAGAGAACGCCGUCUACGGGAUGGGCUACACGGGCAGCCACCUGGAGCAAAAUUCUCAGUUGCUUAUUUAUAAAAUGAAUUAAAGUAGCUGUUAGACCCACUGAUGUUUGUUUCUGAAUGCUUGGACUGCUUGUUGAGGUGUUGAGAUGAGGCACUAAUUGCAGAUGUGUUUGCAAUGGAGGCGGAGGCCAGGGAGCCGAGUGGAAGGUGCUUUGGAAAAUGCUCUGCAGUCCCCGCUGUUAACCCCCGGUGUGAAGCACCUUGCUGUACACACAGAGAGGUGCAAUACAGAGGUCCUAAACCUGCAGAGACUGCGUGCAAGGCGGUUUGUGGAAACAAAGCUGCGCUUAAAGUUACCUGUGUGUAGAUACGGAUGCUCCAAAUCACUCCCGCAGUUAAAUUACACCAUCCCCGGUGCAAGGGGAGCCCCUGAAGCAGUGGAGUAGUCUAACAGUGAGGAGUAAAACACAAGUUAUCUGCUGUAAAAGUGUAGACAGAAAGUUUCUUUGAGAAUUGCUUUGACCAUGAAGGAGUCAGUGCCAAAGGAAUCAGUCUUUAGUUUAGGAUUUUCAGAGACUGAACUCGCUUGCUACUUACAGACACUCUAUACUGAGAUUUGCAAGGGUUUGUGGGUUGGUUUUUUUUUAAAAAUAAUUGCAUUCACUUUUUACUUAUAUUAUCUCUUAGCUGGUAUCUACUUUGCUAUUUUAAUACAAACCAGAAUGACUCACAGGAAAGAUUGUUUCUUCAGCCCAUCAUCAGUGUUCCCUUAACUUCAUUUGCCUCUUUCCCUAGCUGUUUCCCCAAAUACUUCUUUGCAUGCUAAUUUGCUGUGUGGCCCGAGGUUCACACUGGUGCUAGGGAAUAGACAGCAAUUUCUUUUUAUGUGGACUAUAAAAGGCAGAAAAACAAUGACAACUCUCAUAGACAGAGAAUGAAUGUAUCUGACAGAUGAUGGUAAGACCUCAGAGGCUCUCCUGAUGAAACUGCUCAGCAUUAGUAAUAAUGUUUCAGGUUAAGUGAAAUGUCUAAUUUCAAUCUGGGAAUUAAUUUUAAAAUAUGUAAAUAUAUAUAUUUCACAAGCUAUGGCAUGUGGGAUGUUCAGCAAAUGGAAUGACUACAAGUGGAAAGUUUCAUAGCUGCCAAAGCUACGUCAUGAAAAUACCAAAGAGUAACAUUAGGGAAAAGAUGAUGCUCCAGCAAUGGGGUCAGAAGCAGAGAUUGCACUAUAACCUGGGGGAAUGUGAUUAACGAGCCUGUAAAUUAGCUGUUAGGGACCUGCAUCCCAGAACUGCUGAACAAACACAAGAUGGUUCAAAGCCUGUCAAAGUCCUACAGGUCUGCUGGCUUUGCCUCGCUGGCUAUCACCACUUUAAAGCUUUAAAACAAAGUAAAUAAUAGCGCACACUCAGCUGGAGGCAGAUAUAUAUAUAUACAUAUAUAUACAUAUAUAUCUAAGAACAUAAUUUUUUAUUUGUUUUGAAAGGCUUUGCUCUUGCAGAUGUGGCUGAUGCUAUUUCUGAAGCAUUCUAUAGUGUGAACAAAUACCGUGGCUUGCCAGGAAUGUGCUUUUUGUGUCAGAUUCCUCCUGUCACCCUGCUCAGAGCGCCCUGGUCGUGUGUGUCGCACAUAUCGUCACAGCUCCCAGGCACGUGUUAGCGCUGGAGAAAAGGCAGAAAGGCAAAAGCAAAAAGGUGUGAAGAACAAAGUUAACUCUGGUAUCAGUAGUUAGAAGUCAGUAGAGGUUUAGGAGACAGAAGGAAGCAGUAAAAUCCAGUUUUGUGUUUUUUUUUUUUUAAUUUGAAAAAAGAAAUUAAUGUCAGCAGUGUAAUUCAAAACAAGGAUAACCUGCAAACUGGAGAAUAUAAACAUCUCAGAUACUGUGGGAAGGCUGAAAAAACAGGGCAGUGCUGUUUGGGAGGUGCUGUUAGUCAUUAUGACUGUUCAGAUCUCUGUUUUUGCUUUGAGACAAGUCAUAUUUACUUCUCUCUUAGAAAAGUGUCUUUCAAUCCUUAGCCAGUGCAGCUCAGCCUCAGAGCUUCCUGGCUGUGCAUGGUUUGAUUCCUGCUCUCCCUGGGCUUGCACCAGCCCAAAAUCAUGUAGCUGGUGCAGCUGCAUGAUUUGAGAAAUGGUUUCAAUGUAGUUUGAGAAAUUUCCAGUGGAAAGGGGCCAUGUCCACUUCAACAGGGGGCUGGUGGAGCCCAGGCUGCUGAUCAGGUCCACAGGACAGCCCCAGUGUGACCAGUAAGAGCUGGCAGAGAAGCCCAUUUGCUGUUGUGAGAGGUGCCAUUAUCCCGCAGGAGCCCUCUGGCCUCUGCGGCACCGGGAACGCUUCGUGCCAACCCAGGGCUGGGAGAAUGGUGAAGGAAAAUUGCUCCUGUCUUCUGAUCUUUCAAACCAUGUAAUUUUCCACUCUGAAGUGGUUUGAUUUAUGCUUUUUUUUUUUCCCUCUUCAUGUCGGUUUUCAUCUGAUUUCAUAACAAUCUAGCAUGUACAGGAAAUGCUUAAAUGCUUCUUUUCUCUCGCUGACUGACUUUUUAUAUUCAUAGGAUGGUUCUGGCUUCAAUAAACAAAUCUUUUAACUUAGAAUUAGAAAUGUUUCAAUGAAAUGAAAAAGCUCAGUAGGAUCAAAGUCUUUAACCUCACCUGAACAAAAAAACAUUGGCCCUGUCAGAUUCACCUUUGAAGAGGUUUUGUGCCUGCUGAAAGAGGAAGAUACUUUCUUGCCUAUUGAAAGCUUCUCUGUGAAGGCGUUGUGAUAACUGAACAGAUAUAACAGACAAAAAUCUGCAUCAGGUCACAAAACUCCUUGGGCUACCUAGGAAAGAGGAUGAUAAUUUAGUCAUGUUUUUCUCAUGUGCUGUCUUCUUGAAGAAAACAACAUUGUCUCUUUUUUUAAUUUUCACUUGCUCCAGGAGUUGUUAAAAUGGAUUAUUUCUUUCUAUAGAACAAAUUGAGUUUUUUAUGGAUGACUUUUUGAUAUGGAAUUGAAUCAAAGGUUCGCUAUUCUAUAUGCUUUUAGUCUGCUUCAGUUUUUACUGCUUCUGCUUUGCCCAGCAUUGGUGCUGCUGAAAAGUGGGUCUGAAAAUUUUGAUUUGAAUGCUUAAAAAUAGUUUAUGGGGUGAUAAAGAAGUACAAAUGUGCAAUAACAUUGCAAGUGACUCCCGAAAUAUUUGACACCUUUUGAAUUUUAUACUUACAUUGAUUUUAACAUUUAGUUGCCAAGUUACUGGGUACCAGCAUUUUAAUACAGCUACAUACAGUGAUUUUUCUUUUUUGGGUUUGUAGCUACAGUUCAGCUCUUCUGGCUUCUGAUGUGAGAAUCUGUCUGUAGGUGGUCAACUUUCACUGAGAUAGAUUUUUAUAUAUAUAUAUAUAUAUAUGUUCUAUUAUGACUGCAUUAGGAACUCCUACAUAUGGGCUAUGUUUGCACUGGAUGUAAAGAAAGUCCUUGCUUCCCUUUGACUCAGUUGCCUUGGAGAUAGAAUAUUCAUCAGAGAGAAUAUAGAUGAGCUGGGUAAGCAGGACAGACUUGGUGAGGAGAGCUGAUCAUUUUGAAAAUGACUGGCUUAGGACAAUUCAUUUUCACCUGGGAAUAGCAGCACACUUGGCUGUAAUUAGUGUCUCCAUGAGUUGAGUUUUCUUUGUGCUGCUUUUCUGGCUGGACAUGCUGGUGAAGGGUGCACGAGGUACCUUUGUGGGGGCCACAGUGUGGGUGUGGAUGGGGUCUGGUGCAGAAUCCCAACACUGAGUUUGAGCAACCUGCUCUAGUGCAGGUGUGUCCCCACCCAUGGCAGGAGGGUUGGAACCAGACGGUCUUUAAGGUCUCUUCCAACUCGAACCAUUCCAUGACCCCAUGAUUCUGUGACAUUAGGGCCCUGAUCCUGUAAAUGCUUGGGUUAUCACCUGAUUUCCUCACUCUGGAGCCCGAGAGGCUCCUCGUGUGCUUGAUGCUCAGCAUGUGCAUGAGCUUGUGUGGGGCUGGGGCUGCAGAUCGCCCUCAAUCGCCGCCUUAUCGGUGACAGUGACCCCCGAGCUGCUGCUUCAGCUCUUCAAUACAUUUCUCUUGCACUGUAAAUUGAACUUCUGUUUUCCAAUGAAUGUGUGGAGUAUAUGGACUAUUGUGCCUUAAAGUCCCAUCCUCGUAUGAGCCUUUGUAAAUGUUCUGUAAAUCCGCAAACCGUCUAUCGCUGGUAUCUCUGUGCACUCUCUACAGAUCUGAUUUGGUACUUGGCAGGACCUUGGGAAACCCAACCAUGACCUCAGUUUGCCAUGACCACGAGAGGGGAUUUGCCAAUUCCCUCUUUUCUUUUUUCAGAUUGCUUUCCUCUCCAACAUUCAUGAAAUUCUGUUUGUCUGGUUUCUGCCAUAGUUGGGCUCUGGGCCACCUGCAGUACCAGGAGCUCCUCGCAGGAACUCUGAAAGUUAUAAAAAAGUUGUCUCCAGAUUUUAAACACCACCUGUAGAACACUCCCAGGAGGGAAUCACAGCUGCAUAUGACAACUGUGGCAGGUGUUGUCAAGUAUAUCAUCAUAUAUUUGACACAAUUGACAAAGCAGAGAAAGGAACACCUAUUUCUAUUGAAAUGCAUGAGCCUGCAUUAUGUUAAAUACAUGGUGAUUAUGCACCAAAUAAUUGGAAUAAUACCUACUGGUUCUGUAAAAAAAAAGCCUUUUAAUGUUUAAAAUUACCUGGGACCUGACUGAAGGUUUUUAUGAAAUUGUUUUCUAAAGUGAAUAGUAGAAAAAAUGUAUAUGUAUUUUAAAUAUACGUAUGAUGUGCAUGUUAUUAAUAAAGAUCUAUUUCUAUUGAA
Molecule: long non-coding RNA, 5521 nt
Organism: Vidua macroura (Pin-tailed whydah)
Lineage: Eukaryota; Metazoa; Chordata; Aves; Passeriformes; Viduidae
Exons: 4
Source: RefSeq, a predicted model, not a curated record